UCGAGAAUUUUUCUCAAUGGGGGAAACCCUGAAGGAGCGACGCCGCGUGGAGGAUGAAGGUCUUCGGAUUGUAAACUCCUGUCAUUGGGGAACAAUGCGCAAAUAUUAACUGUAUUUGCGUUGAUAGUACCCGAAGAGGAAGAGACGGCUAACUCUGUGCCAGCAGCCGCGGUAAUACAGAGGGUGCGAGCGUUGUCCGGAAUCACUGGGCGUAAAGGGCGCGUAGGUGGCGCGGGCAGUCAACGGUGAAAGUUCGGGGCUCAACCCUGAAUCGGCCGUCGAUACUCCCGUGCUUGAGCACUGUAGAGGCAGAUGGAAUUCCGGGUGUAGCGGUGGAAUGCGUAGAGAUCCGGAAGAACACCGGUGGCGAAGGCGGUCUGCUGGGCAGUUGCUGACACUGAGGCGCGACAGCGUGGGGAGCAAACAG
RNAcentral lists this ribosomal RNA (427 nucleotides) under uncultured bacterium. Its description in RNAcentral is "bacterial SSU rRNA". It matches the Rfam family "Bacterial small subunit ribosomal RNA", at positions 355 to 775 of the family's 1533-position model. The record is from RNAcentral.